CCUACGGGCGGCAGCAGUGGGGAAUAUUGGACAAUGGGCGAAAGCCUGAUCCAGCCAUGCCGCGUGUGUGAAGAAGGCCUUCGGGUUGUAAAGCACUUUCAGUGGGGAAGAAAGCCUUGGGGCUAAUACCCUCGAGGAAGGACAUCACCCACAGAAGAAGCACCGGCUAACUCCGUGCCAGCAGCCGCGGUAAUACGGAGGGUGCGAGCGUUAAUCGGAAUUACUGGGCGUAAAGCGCGCGUAGGCGGUCUGAUAAGCCGGUUGUGAAAGCCCCGGGCUCAACCUGGGAACGGCAUCCGGAACUGUCAGGCUAGAGUGCAGGAGAGGAAAGUAGAAUUCCCGGUGUAGCGGUGAAAUGCGUAGAGAUCGGGAGGAAUACCAGUGGCGAAGGCGGCCUUCUGGACUGACACUGACGCUGAGGUGCGAAAGCGUGGGUAGCAAACAGGAUUAGAUACCCCAGUAGUC
RNAcentral lists this ribosomal RNA (465 nucleotides) under Vreelandella stevensii. RNAcentral's name for it is "partial 16S ribosomal RNA". It matches the Rfam family "Bacterial small subunit ribosomal RNA", at positions 338 to 795 of the family's 1533-position model. Lineage: Bacteria; Pseudomonadati; Pseudomonadota; Gammaproteobacteria; Oceanospirillales; Halomonadaceae. The record is from RNAcentral.